CUCGUUCGUGGAUACUGUUCUAAUAAGGUCUUAUACUUUAGCAACAUAGUAUUACAAGCAUUUGGAUUUUCAAUCACUAAAUAUAAGGGAAUUGUUCCAAUUUAAUUCAAUUCCAUUCAUAAAACGGAAAGUUUACUCUUCUUGAAUGCUAGAAAAAUACAGGAUAAAUGCAAAGAUCAAGCUAGAAGAUUUGUAAUUCUUUUGCUAACGUAUUGGCGAUUCAUCGUGCUUUUAAUUAUCAAAGAAAGAUGAAAAGAACAUGAAUAUUUUCCUAUAAUCUAUUCCCACAAGUUCUAAAAAAAAGUAUUGCUGCUAGUUCGAUAUUCAUUGGUAAUACUGUUCUUCAACUUGACUUGACCACUACAUGUAAUCUACAUAUUACACUAUUUUUAAGAACUAACCACAAAAAUAAUUUGGAUCUAAUUUUUGACGUCUUUCUAUGUCCAAGGAAGCUGCGUUAGGAAUUUUUUUUGCGUGUGUUUAUACCCGCAACCCAACCCAACCUGUAUCAACUUUGAAAAAAAUUAGUUGAACGAACCCCCACCUCGCAUAGUGCUAAAACCCGCCCAGCCCAGCCCCAUGGGCAUCCCUAAACUCAUUAAACCAAGUGUACUAUCCUUCAUCAGAGAGCCUCCCUUUUGGAGGGACAAAAAGAAGUCUUCCUUCACCACAUUGGUUACGAGCAGAAAACCUACACACCACAAAAUCCAAUAAAAACUCUACACAACCAUGCAGCAAUGGCUCAAACGGUUCUUUCUUUCUUUCUUUUCCGCAGUUGAAUGCAACAUGGCAGUGGAACUCCCAAACAUGCACGUUUUCAAGAUCACAUGCAUAUGUUUUCAACAACUCUAAAAACAUAAAUACCAACAGGAUUCAUGAUCACAAUAUUUGCCACAAAGCUCUCCUGAAAACCCAAUUACGCAAUUAAUAAGAUUUGUUAAGGCAAUUAGCCAUACAGGGGAUAAGAAGCUAGUGUUUUUAAUGAAAUGUCCCACCAUCCAGAGGUAUGUACGUCAAGGGAAAAAGAAAAGAGUCUCAGAAGUAAGGGCUGUAACGCAUCGGCGCCCUAGCCCUUGGAACCUUUCUGCAGCAUAAAUAAAUGAAGCCAUGUCACAAAUUUAAUCAAAUACAGAAAGGGUAGCAAACACAACUUUGUUUAUAAGUAAUGAUAUAAAACAAAUAACGUUACCCGUAUCCAUAAGGAGGGAAAAAAUAAGGAGCAGGCAUGAAUGGUGUCCGACCUCGAAAUCCCAUAUACGGGUUGGGCCGCCUAGCACGGUACGGCUUCAUACCAGGAACAUUAGUCCUCUUUGCUGAUACCUACACAACAUUUGCAAUCACAGAUGGCAAAGGGUAUGAAGACAGGCAUGAAAGGUUUUAUAUUCAAAUAUAACGACCUUAUAAGCAAACUGGAUUUAGGGACUAACUGGUUGACCUUAAGUUGGCGGCCAUGAAGUUCAGAUUCAUUCAGAAGAAGAGCUUCAUGGACAGCUUCUGGUUCAAGAAACUCAACGUAAGCAUAUCCUUUAGGUUGCCCAAACUUGUUAGUUCGGAUUGUAACUCUAUUUACUGUCCCACAUGCCUGAAAAUGUUGCUGCACUUCCUCUGGAGUGCAAGAAUAAUCCACCUAUAAAACAAGUUUAGCCCCUCAAACAGUUUGCCCCAAAUAACCACGCACGAGAUAAUCUCAGACUGGAUCAAAGGUCGACACAGCAGUGAAAAAUCCAAACAGAAUAUCAUAAUAUAAGCUCUAACUCCUAACUAGUAUAAGUGAAGGCAAUUUAAAAUUAAUCUAGUGCUGAUUCAGAUUUAGAAAAAAAGCAUAAAUUGAAACACGCAGCUAUGGGAAAUGGGAUCAAGAGAGCGAGAGCAAAAUUGAAAAAAUAACUAGUCAUUCAAAAAUGACCUACACCUUUUUCACCGAUCUAAUAGGAAGAAAAAGAAUUAAGCAUUCCACUAGUUGCAAUUAGUACACAAGGUACUUAGUUGUCGUUAUAUAUUGGAAACACCUAAUAAUCCACAACUUUUCCAUUUAAAAGUAAAAGAAACUACUUUUUACCUACAUCCUUACACAGUUUAUAUUGGAUCAUUUUUCCACUAUGUAUGAUACUUGUAAAUGUAGUAUGCCAUAUUCAUCUGGUUUAUUGUAAUUGAAGUUGACACACAAAAUGUUAACAAAUUUUUUUUUCUUUCUUAUGCAUUUUGUACAACAGAAGGCCAAAUACACAUGCUAUACAAACAUUUCUUUUUCUCCUUUACCUAAAAAAGUUUCUUUUCCUCUUUUUUUCUAAAUUAAGUUGUGAGUUGUUUAUAAUGUAAGUCAAAACAAUCCAAUCCUGAUCAACUGAAAAGAGUUAACACUGUAAUUAACAAAUCUAAAAACUAAAAGAUGAUUUUGUAAAAGAAAGUGGAAGUGUGAGACCAUCUCGCCUAAAAGCUUUAAGAUGAGAUGGUCCCCACACUUCAAAACAUGGUGUCAGAGCAGGUGGAAGUCAGGCGGAAAUCGUGGGUUUGACUCUGACUGCACCUAUUAUCAAAAGGAUUACCACGUAUUUAUUUAACCCAUGAAAAGAAUCAAGUUCACAUGUGAAGAGGCGUGUAGAAGACAUAAUUAAGUAAAUAAAAAUGCUCUUCCUAACAAUUCAAACUUUUGAUCAAAUGGUCAUACAUUUCACGUUCUUCUUGUUUCAUCUUUUUUUCAGACCAUCCUUUUCAAUAAGAACAUAACUAAUCCAACCGCAAUAGUUGACUACAACCUUUAUAAACUGAACCAGAAAACACCUAUAGGCUAUACCAAUAUGACUUUGCCACACAUCCACCAAUUUCUUUCCUUAUAACCUUAAGAUGUCGGUUUAUCGAAUUCCUAGACUCCAAAUUAGUUUUAUUUUUGUCAAAGUAGUUUGUGAUACCAAUAGAAACUUAGUUCAUGUCACCCAAGGGUGUGUGGCCAAGUGGCCAGGCCAAUGAAAUGGUUAAGAACUGUUUGAAUAGGAGUAAGAAUUGGAAUAUUGCAUAGAAUCCUGCUUGAAAGAGGAUUGUAAUGUUACUGUACUAGUUGGUAAAGGAAUCCAUAAAUAGGGUCUCAAUGUAAUAAUUCAAACAAGACAAUUCAAUACAUUUUUCUCCUAUAUUUCUCACAUUGUAUCAGAGUGAGUUUGGUGACAUACUGGGAAGAAAAAAUCAGUCACAGUGCGUCACUUUCCAGCGACUGUGAAGGCCAAUUUGCGCCCUCAUUUGUUUUGUAAGUGUUGUGCGAAAACCAACACUACCACGAGGUGCAAAACACUAAGGCGAGCAAACCCCAGUGAGCCACUCUCCAUUCUGGUGAGCCACGUGCCGGCAGUAGUCUCAAAUUUGUGUCACCAUGCGCAUAACGCGCCGGCGCUUCCAGCUAUUUCUGGCCACUUUUCGUUGAGAUUCUUUUUCUAGUAAGGUCGCCUCUUUAUUCCGAGGUUGUCCAUAUAGUUAUUUCUUAAUUCCAACCAGUUUUCAGCAAUCAAAUCUUAUUUUGCGAUGACUGACCCCUUUUAUUUCAGAUUCCGGCAAUAUAUUUCCAAAAUCUUUGCUCCGUUUAGUCCUACAAUUAAAUAUGAACCCUUAAUGAGAAAAUCAGAAAAUCAAACAUCCCAGUCCAUGAAGAAUCGACAAGGGGAGGUUGUUUUGGAAGAUCUCAACCUAGAUGUAGUUAUUGUAAAAGGCUUGAACAUACUCGUGACGUAUGCUAUUUUCGACCUAAAUGUAGUUAUUGUAAUAGGCUUGGACAUACUAGUGGAAUAUGUUAUUCUUUGCAUAAUUGACCACCUAAAAAUGUUCAUGUUGUACAAUCUAACACCACAGGUAAUCAACGGGUAUAUUUAACUGAAAAAGAAUAUAAUGAGUAUCUUCAGUAUCAAGCAAGAAAGCAAAUAUCUCUAACAGUAGCCUCAAUUGCACAAUCUUCUAUCAUUGGAUCAUGGAUUGUGGACUCUGGCGCUUCUGCUCAUAUUCCUACGGAUAAAUCACUUCUAUCAAAUAUUAUUUAUUCACAAUCUCUUUCAAUUAUCACUUUAGCAAACCAACGCAAAAGGUGUUGGAGAAGCUACUCCUCUAUCCUCUGUCACUUUAAAUUAUGCUCUUUAUGUCCCUGAUUGUCUUUUUAAUCUUGCAUCGGUCAGUCGUUUGACUCCUGCCCUAAAUUGUGGCAUACUAUUUCUUGAGGACUCAUUUAUCAUGCAUGACCGUAGUACGGAACAAACAAUUGGUAUAGGAUAUGAACCACAAUACCUUUACUACCUUAUCUCUCCUUUACUCCUCCAUAGCAUGUCCAAUUACAGAUUCUUUGAUACAAGUCGGAUUACUCCAAAGAUUCUCACCCAAGGUAAUUGACAACACUUUAGAGACAAAGGAGUUUUGCGAUCCAGCAUGAUGAGAAUGAUGAGAAUUGGGGAUGGUGGAGUAUUGCCCUUUUAGGCAUUUGGCAUUUAGGGUCACUUUGCGCCCAUUUUGCAUUAGGCUCACUUUUGAGCAUAUUUUGUAAUAAAUAGCCCAUGACUAUAAAUAGCUAGGAUUUUCUUUUUUCUUAGAUGAUUUUUGAUGAAUGAUACACUCGCAAGCGUUUUUGAGCUUGUUGGGAGCUUUGUUGAACUUUGUGAAACGUUGGCCGUGAGUGAAUUAAUCUCACCCAGUGUUUGUCAUAGGUAUAAUGUUUGAGGGUCAUUGGUUUAAUAUACCUUUGGUUUGCUUAUAUUUCUUCUCCUAGUGUCUAUCUAUUUAUCCUUUCCUAUAUUAUCUUUCAAGUUCCGUACUUUGAGUUUGUUUCUGUAUUUUGUAUCUGUAAAGAAUGGAUCUUGGGUUUAACUCAACCUCAAAAGCUAGCUCAUGAGGGGAGGAUUGCCUAAGUCCAUAUAAGCAGACAAAUUACUCAUUUCUUUUCCGACAUGGGAUACUUAACACUCCCCCGCACGUCCGGACCUCGUUAAUUGGAGCGUGGACAGUAUAAUAUGGGGCCCAACAUCGGUGAACAAUGAUUUGGGAUGGACCUGGCUCGGAUACCAUGAUAAAGAAUGGAUCUUGGGUCUAACUUAACCUCAAAAGCUAGCUCAUGAGGGAAGGAUUGUCCAAGUUCAUAUAAGGAGACCAAUUACUCAUCCCUUUUCCGAUGUAGGAUACUUAACAUGUGAGAAAUAGUGAAGAAAAAUACUAUUGAAUUAUGUAUCUAAAUUAUUACAUUGAGAUCCUAUUUAUAGACACUACAUUAUUAUACUUUUCUAAGUAGGAUUUUUUAUACUAUUCCUACUCCUACUCAUGUUCUAACACUUUCCCUCUUAAGUUGGUUCAUACAAGUUAUAUGUACCUAGCUUGUUACAAAUGUAAUUAAUACGAGAACUAGUGAGUGACUUGGUGAAGAUGUCUGCAAGUUGAUCACUUGACAUCACAAAUUUUGUAACAAUAUCUCCGUAGAGUAUCUUUUCACUAACAAAGUGACAAUCGAUCUCUAUAUAUGCUUAGUUCUCUCAUGGAACACUGGAUUAGAUGCAAUAUGAAGGGCUGCUUGAUUACAACAUAAGUUCCAUCUCACUGGUUUCUCCAAAUUUUAGUUCUCUUAGCAACUGUUUAAUCCAAACUAGCUAACAAGUUGUUGCAGCCAUUGCUCGAUAUUCUGCUUCCGCACUAGAUCGAGCAACCACACUCUGUUUCACACUCUUCCAGGACACCAAAUUACCUCCUACUAAAACACAAUAUCCGGACGUAGAACAUCUAUCAGAGGGUGGUCCUGCCCAAUCAACAUUUGUAUAUCCAAUGAUAUGCCCAUGGCCUCGAUCCUCGAAGAGUAGUUCUUUACCUGGAGAUGACUUUAUAUAUUGAAAAACACGAACUGUGUCCCAAUGAAUAUCACAUGGGGAAGUCGUAAAUUGAUUUACAAAUCUCACAAGAAAAGAGAUGUCAGGACUAGUCACUGUGAGAUAAGUCAACUUUCUAACCAACCGUUUAUACCUUCCAAGAUCACUGAGUGGCUCCCUCUGCCCUGUUAAAAGUUUAGCAUUUGGAUCCAUAGAAGUGUCAAUGAGUCUACUAUCCCAUCAUUCCUGUCUCCUCAAGAAUGUUUAAGGCAUACUUACGAUGAGAAAUAACUAUGAUGUGGACUGAGCAACCUCAAUACCUAGAAAGUAGUAUUUCGGUUUGUUGAGGUCUUUGGUCUGGAAAUGUUGAAAGAGAUUUUGCUUCAAAUUAGUGAUACCAUCUAAAUCAUUGUCGGUGAUACGAUAUCGUCAACAUAAAUGACUAAAUAAAUACACAAAUUUGGUUUAGAAUGGCGAUAAAAUACUGAAUGAUCAGCUUCACUACGAAUCAUGCCAAACUCCUGAAUUACUGUGCUAAACUUCCCGAACCAGGCUCGAGGGGACUAUUUCAAACCAUAGAGUGACCUGCGCAAUCGACAUACAAGGCUACUAGACUCUUCCUGAGCAACAAAACCAAGGGGUUUCUCCAUAGACCUCCUCCUCAAGCUCACCAUGCAGAAAAACAUUCUUAAUGUCCAACUGAUAAAGGGGCCAAUGACGAACGACAGUCAUAAAUAGAAAAAGACGGACAAGUGUUAUUUUAGCCACGAGAGAGAAAAUAUCAUUAUAAUCAAGCCCAAAUAUUUGUGUAGAUCCUUUGGCAACAAGGCGAGCUUUAAGUCGAUCAACCUGACCAUCUAGACCAACUUUGACUACAUAAAUCCAACGACAACGAGCAGUAAAUCAGGGAAAAAACUCCCAAGUACCACUCGUAUGUAAAGCAGACAUCUUAUUAAUCAUAGCAUGUUUCCAACCUGAAUAGGAAAGUGUUUCACCUGUAGUCUUAGGGAUGGAAAUAGAGGACAAAGAUGAUACACAAGCAUAAUGAGGUGAUGAUAAACGAUGAUAACUCAAAAUAGUAUAAUGUGGGUUAGCAUUACGAGUGGAUCUUAUACCUUUUUGAAGUGCAACUAAUUGGCUAAGAGGAGGCAAGCCCGCAGUAGAGAAAGCUUCAGGCACACGACAUGAAUCAUCUAGAACUAAUGAUGGAUGUGGGCGGCGAUGAUAAGUCAAAAGUGGUGGCAUUGCAGCUGGAGAUGUAGAAGUAACGGUAGAUUCCUCAAAGGUUGGUGUAGGUAGACUGGAGGUAUGGCUAAGACUUCAGAGAUAUCAAGAUAAUCCGAAGAUGUUAUAGUAAGGUUUAGAUUCAAAGAAUGUCACAUCGGCGGACAUAAGGUAGCGACCCAGAUCAGGUGAAUAGCAUCAAUAUCCUUUUUGAACUCGAAAGUAACCAAGGAAAACACAUUUGAGAGUAAGAAGGGCUGAUUUAUCUUUUUCUGGGACUAAUCUGGGACUAAGUUUUGAACAAAACACGUGCUCCCAAAAACACGAGCGGGGAUAGAGUAGAGAUGUGACUGAGGAAAUAGUAUGGAUAGGGAACCUGAUUCUAAAUUGACGAUAGUGGCAUUCUAUUAAUGAGAUAGCAAGAUACGAGGACUGCAUCGCCUAAAAAACGGUAUGGAACACGGGAUUCAAUGAGAAGAGUGCGAACAAUUUCAAUGAGAUGCCUAUUUUUCCUUUCUGCUAUAUAUCAUUUUACUGAGGGUGUAUGGAAAUGAUGUCUGGUAAGCAGGCAUGAUGACCUUCACCUGCUUCCUUCACUCUUUUUUUAUUAAAUAUUAUUAAUAUUUUAAUAAUUAAAAAAUAUAUAAUAAUUAAUUAGGAGUGAUAUAAUAAAAUCACAUGACGACCUUCACCUGCUUCCUUCUCACUUCUAUAUAUUAGAAUGUUGUUUUCAGUUGUUUUCAGUCCGCCUGCCCGGCGUAAGUAGUUUUCAGUCCCCCUGCCCGGCGUAAGCCGCCCGACAUAUAGCCACCCCGUAUAAUUCGCUACUUUUAUUAAUAAAUUUAAUAUAGAAACCAUUUUAAAAAUAUCAUACUAUGUUAUCACUAUUUUUAAUACAGUCGAUUGCUCGUUCGUGGAUACUGUUCUAAUAAGGUCUUAUACUUUAGCAACAUAGUAUUACAAGCAUUUGGAUUUUCAAUCACUAAAUAUAAGGGAAUUGUUCCAAUUUAAUUCAAUUCCAUUCAUAAAACGGAAAGUUUACUCUUCUUGAAUGCUAGAAAAAUACAGGAUAAAUGCAAAGAUCAAGCUAGAAGAUUUGUAAUUCUUUUGCUAACGUAUUGGCGAUUCAUCGUGCUUUUAAUUAUCAAAGAAAGAUGAAAAGAACAUGAAUAUUUUCCUAUAAUCUAUUCCCACAAGUUCUAAAAAAAAGUAUUGCUGCUAGUUCGAUAUUCAUUGGUAAUACUGUUCUUCAACUUGACUUGACCACUACAUGUAAUCUACAUAUUACACUAUUUUUAAGAACUAACCACAAAAAUAAUUUGGAUCUAAUUUUUGACGUCUUUCUAUGUCCAAGGAAGCUGCGUUAGGAAUUUUUUUUGCGUGUGUUUAUACCCGCAACCCAACCCAACCUGUAUCAACUUUGAAAAAAAUUAGUUGAACGAACCCCCACCUCGCAUAGUGCUAAAACCCGCCCAGCCCAGCCCCAUGGGCAUCCCUAAACUCAUUAAACCAAGUGUACUAUCCUUCAUCAGAGAGCCUCCCUUUUGGAGGGACAAAAAGAAGUCUUCCUUCACCACAAAAAGAAGUCUUCCUUCACCACAUUGGUUACGAGCAGAAAACCUACACACCACAAAAUCCAAUAAAAACUCUACACAACCAUGCAGCAAUGGCUCAAACGGUUCUUUCUUUCUUUCUUUUCCGCAGUUGAAUGCAACAUGGCAGUGGAACUCCCAAACAUGCACGUUUUCAAGAUCACAUGCAUAUGUUUUCAACAACUCUAAAAACAUAAAUACCAACAGGAUUCAUGAUCACAAUAUUUGCCACAAAGCUCUCCUGAAAACCCAAUUACGCAAUUAAUAAGAUUUGUUAAGGCAAUUAGCCAUACAGGGGAUAAGAAGCUAGUGUUUUUAAUGAAAUGUCCCACCAUCCAGAGGUAUGUACGUCAAGGGAAAAAGAAAAGAGUCUCAGAAGUAAGGGCUGUAACGCAUCGGCGCCCUAGCCCUUGGAACCUUUCUGCAGCAUAAAUAAAUGAAGCCAUGUCACAAAUUUAAUCAAAUACAGAAAGGGUAGCAAACACAACUUUGUUUAUAAGUAAUGAUAUAAAACAAAU
This 9153-nucleotide long non-coding RNA is filed under the name Capsicum annuum. Its description in RNAcentral is "long non-coding RNA (CANN_LNC020503)". The record is from RNAcentral. Lineage: Eukaryota; Viridiplantae; Streptophyta; Magnoliopsida; Solanales; Solanaceae.